RNAcentral lists this ribosomal RNA (798 nucleotides) under uncultured organism. RNAcentral describes it as "bacterial SSU rRNA". It matches the Rfam family "Bacterial small subunit ribosomal RNA", at positions 526 to 1328 of the family's 1533-position model. The record is from RNAcentral.
CGGAGGAUGCGAGCGUUAUCCGGAUUCAUUGGGUUUAAAGGGUGCGCAGGCGGUGGAGCAAGUCAGUGGUGAAAGCNCAAGGCUUAACCUUGGGAUUGCCAUUGAAACUGGUUCACUUGAGUGUAGUCGAGGACGGCGGAAUGAGUUGUGUAGCGGUGAAAUGCAUAGAUAUAACUCAGAACACCAAUUGCGGAGGCAGCUGUCCAGGCUACAACUGACGCUGAGGCACGAAAGCGUGGGGAGCGAACAGGAUUAGAUACCCUGGUAGUCCACGCUGUAAACGAUGAUCACUCGUUGUUGGCUACUUAGUAGUCAGUGACUAAGGGAAACCAUUAAGUGAUCCACCUGGGGAGUACGUCGGCAACGAUGAAACUCAAAGGAAUUGACGGGGGCCCGCACAAGCGGAGGAACAUGUGGUUUAAUUCGAUGAUACGCGAGGAACCUUACCUGGGCUUAAAUGCAGGCUGCAUUCACGUGAAAGCGUGAUUUCCUACGGGACUGCCAGCAAGGUGCUGCAUGGUUGUCGUCAGCUCGUGCCGUGAGGUGUCGGGUUAAGUCCCAUAACGAGCGCAACCCCUAUCGCUAGUUGCCAGCAUGUAAAGGUGGGGACUCUAGCGAGACUGCCGGUGUAAACCGGAGGAAGGUGGGGAUGACGUCAAGUCAGCACGGCCCUUACGUCCAGGGCUACACACGUGUUACAAUGGCCGGUACAAAGAGCAGCCACCUGGCGACAGGGCGCUAAUCUCAAAAGCCGGUCUCAGUUCGGAUCGAAGUCUGCAAUUCGACUUUGUGAAGAUG